Molecule: ribosomal RNA, 454 nt
Filed under: uncultured bacterium
Lineage: Bacteria
Description: bacterial SSU rRNA
Rfam family: Bacterial small subunit ribosomal RNA
Source: RNAcentral
GACGAACGUUGGCGGCGUGCUUAAUACAUGCAAGUCAACUGAAGCACCGGUAGUAAUACUGGUGUGGAGGUGGCGCACGGGUGAGUAACACGUAGGUAAUCUGCCUUCAGGUCUGACAUAACCCCGAGAAAUCGGGGCUAAUAGCAGAUGAUGCAGCGGCUUGACAUCAAAGACAGUUGUUAAAGCUUCGGCGCCUGAAGAUGAGCCUGCGUCUGAUUAGCUAGUUGGCGGAGUAAUAGCCCACCAAGGCGACGAUCAGUAGCUGGUCUGAGAGGAUGAUCAGCCACACUGGAACUGAGACACGGUCCAGACUCCUACGGGAGGCAGCAGUAAGGAAUAUUGCUCAAUGGGAGAAAUCCUGAAGCAGCAACGCCGCGUGAGGGAUGAAGGGCUUUUGCUCGUAAACCUCUGUAGUGAGGGAAAAAUUCCAUUCUAUGGAAUAUGAUGGUACCUC